GCCUGGAUAGUUCAGAGGUAGAAUUCUUGUUUUGGGAACAAUCAGUCUAAAUUAUAAGAGGUCCUGGGUUCAAUUCCCAGUUCAGGCC
Molecule: transfer RNA, 88 nt
Filed under: Talaromyces rugulosus
Lineage: Eukaryota; Fungi; Ascomycota; Eurotiomycetes; Eurotiales; Trichocomaceae
Description: Penicillium rugulosum tRNA
Rfam family: tRNA
About the family: Transfer RNA (tRNA) molecules are approximately 80 nucleotides in length. Their secondary structure includes four short double-helical elements and three loops (D, anti-codon, and T loops).
Source: Rfam by way of RNAcentral